UAAUGCUUAAUUCAAUGAUCAAGAGAAACAACUUAGAACCAGCUCUCUUCUCUGCUUUUAGAAAAAAAUUGAAACCCUUUUCCGUUGUAGUCCUCUCUCUCGAGUGUACCAAGGCGACAUCUCCAUCGUCGCUUCUGCUCUUCAGGGAUGAAGAGGUGGGAAACACAGACCACAUUCUCUUUCCAAGUUUCUCAUCAUCUCUUCCAUGCUUCAAUUCCCUCUUCUGUAAUAUGAAACCCUCACUCAUUGCGACUUGCGAGAGGACUGCGGUAUUAUCAAUUGUAAGAGGCUUUUCGAGCAGCACGAAACUGCGGGAGAAAAACAAGUGCCAAACAUGUAAACAAGGCCUGUUUGCAUCUGAGGAGACUUUUGAAGAGAAAAAAGCCAGAAGCAACCGUAAUGCAAGAGCAGUUUGACCACCUGCCAGUUUGAAGACAAAGAACUAGUAACUUUGGUACCAACUACUGAGAGACCAGAGAGUCGAACCGCCGACCUAGCCAGAACAGUUCGGCAUCUGGUUCGUUUUUUUUUAAAUGUGAAACAUUUAAAGAAAAAAGUGGAGUCGAAUAAAAAAUCUUGCCUGCUUCUGCAGAGUUCCACAACGACA
Long non-coding RNA from Macadamia integrifolia, 607 nucleotides. RefSeq lists it as uncharacterized. The transcript is spliced from 4 exons. NCBI's taxonomy places the organism in Eukaryota, Viridiplantae, Streptophyta, Magnoliopsida, Proteales, Proteaceae. The record is from RefSeq and is a predicted model, not a curated record.